Phascolarctos cinereus (koala) is the source of this 636-nucleotide non-coding RNA. The record is from RefSeq and is a predicted model, not a curated record. NCBI's taxonomy places the organism in Eukaryota, Metazoa, Chordata, Mammalia, Diprotodontia, Phascolarctidae.
UUGGGCCAAACUCAUGUCAAACUAGGGCCAAGAAAAUGACCCCAGAGGGAAUUUCUUAUCUUGUAGUUCUUUUAGAGGAUCACAGGACCAUGUGCUUCAUCUGAUAUCUUGGUCUCUAGGAAACUGAGAACUUGAUUCCUAAGAUUAGAAGAGCAGAGAAGCAUCCAUGUUUAAUUCAGUAGGUCCCACCUCUACUUCCCAUUAUUGGAUAAGCUAAGCCGACACUUUGACGGCCCAUAGAGAUUGCACAUUUCUCCCUCGUUCUCCGCCAGAGAUGCAGUAGUAACAAUCAAUCAAUCAACAAACAUUAGCCUGGUCCAUGGGAACACAACGAGUUGGACACAACUGGAUGACUGAACAACAACAACAACAACAACAACAACAUGCUUUUGGGGGACUGUGCAUCUGUCUGUCUGAUUUACCUCCACCCGGACAUCUGCGAACUUCAGAAUUUCAUGCUUUCUCCCAUCCCUGUCUCACUCAGCCUGUAUGUAAUUGCCAACUCCCUUUAAAAAUACACAGGCUCGCAAGGUUCAGAACAUAAACAGGUUUAUUAAGAAGGUAAAGAAACCAAAUGAGACUCACUUAUAAAGCUAUAAAAAAGAAUGAUAGCCACCAACGAAUGACUCCCCGAGA